Phyllostomus discolor (pale spear-nosed bat) is the source of this 1636-nucleotide long non-coding RNA. RefSeq lists it as uncharacterized. The transcript has 6 exons. The record is from RefSeq and is a predicted model, not a curated record. Lineage: Eukaryota; Metazoa; Chordata; Mammalia; Chiroptera; Phyllostomidae.
AAAGCCUGAGAAAUGGAAAGAAGGCAAGUAUGGCUACAACAACAGGGCAAGAGAGAGAGAUGGUAGGGGAUGUGGUCAGUGACUUGCACAGAGGGCAUUUAUGUAGGACCCAGUUUGAGUUUGAGUUUUAAUCUGAGUGCAAUGGGAAGUCACUGAAAAUAUGUAAGUAGAAGAGUGCAAGAUUUAAUUUAUGAUCUGAAAGCUCACUCAGGGUAUUGUUUGGAAAGUGGAUUCAAGAAAACCAGGAGUAAAAGAAGAAACAUCAUUCUAGAGUCCAGUACAAAAGUACAGUCAGGACAUAUGGUGCCACAGAGGAGGGUGAUAGUAGGAAAGAAGAAGUGGUUGGCCUGGGGGUACACUUCACAGCUGCCAAGAAGACGUGCGUUGCUGCUGGAGUGUAUGUGGGAGAUGAGAGAGAAGCAGAAAGUAAGGAUCUGUAACCUACAUAAAAUCAAGUGGUUAUUGGUCCUAUUUCCUUUUCUGAUAGAAAGGACUAUGGGGGAAGUUUUAGAGCUCUGGAGUGGGAGUGGAAAUCAAGUGUUCUGUUUGGCCAAAUUAAGUUUGAAUAAGUGUUGUGAUUUCAAACAGUGACAUCAAAUAGGCAGUUGAAUACAGAAAUACAGAGGUCAAUGGAAAGGUCACUGGUAGCAAUUUAAGUAAACCUGGGAGUCACUGACAUAUAAAUAGUAGUAAAAGUCACUGGCCUAGUCUAAUAGAAAACUAGAGAAAGAGAAGAGUGGAAGGCCAAGAACCAGCACUCUAACAUUCGAACAUCAUGCAGAUGUUGAGCAGCCAGAAAAGGAGAUUGAAAAGGAGAAGGAAUGAGGUGGGAGAAGCUUCAGAUAUACUACCAGACUUCAUGCCAUCUGGGAAUAUGCCUUAGUCAUUUAUUGUUGCACCACGAUUGCUGUACAUCACCCUCAUCUUUAAACAGUAGAAGGAAUUUAGAAUUAGAAUGGACAAUGAGUUGGUUAGUGGGAGAUUGGAACUUCAAGAUUAAAGCUGGAAGAUCAGAGGAGCAGAGAAAGCUGGCUUUCAGAAAGAAAUUACUGAAGUAAAUAUACAAAGACAAGCAGAGAAGGAAGUCCCAGUGGACCUCAGCUUCCAGUUUCAGUCACUACCUGAGGCUGAGGGUUCAGCUUAAUGAGAUAACCUUCUUUAAAUCUAGCUUCAAUUCGUAACAGAGCAAACCUAACAGAAUAGAGAAAAGCAGGUCAUGAGGAUGCGUGUGAGCUUUGGGAAACACCACAAUUAAAGGUUAUGAAAAUACAAAUAGAAGAUCAAUUUUGACAAUUACCAGAGGAAAUAGAAGAGUUAAAGGCAAAGAGCCAACAAUAAAGUUGUCGUAUUUCAGACAUGAGAUGGUAGGUAUCUGACUGAAGCUGUAGAAAGAUAAGGCACUUCCAGAAGCAUCUCAGAGGUAUACAUUCAUUCAGUGGGGGUGAAAGGAAGGGCAUGGUGCCAUGCUUCAUCACUUAAUGGCAGCAAUUCCUCAAGCAGAAAAUGAUGUGCCUCCCAGAACUCAUCUUUGGCAGAAACAUGACCCCACAUUGGACAUGACAAGAUUAAUGAAAAUGCAAAUGAGACUCUUUCAGCACUGAUUGAAAUCAAACAAUAAAGUGAUAUCAUGACCUUA